Molecule: non-coding RNA, 114 nt
Organism: Solanum tuberosum (potato)
Lineage: Eukaryota; Viridiplantae; Streptophyta; Magnoliopsida; Solanales; Solanaceae
Source: Rfam
UUUUUUGCAGGUGGAGCAUCAUCAAGAUUCACAUAGCUAUAUUAGGGCUUUUAUAAUUUUUAAAAGCCCUAUGACGAUGUGUGGGAAUCUUGAUGAUGCUGCAGCGGCAAAUAA